GACGAACGCUGGCGGCGUGCUUAACACAUGCAAGUCGAACGGAAAGGCCCUGCUUUUGUGGGGUGCUCGAGUGGCGAACGGGUGAGUAACACGUGAGUAACCUGCCCUUGACUUUGGGAUAACUUCAGGAAACUGGGGCUAAUACCGGGUAUGAUCUCCUGCUGCAUGUGGGUGGUUGGAAAGUUUCGGCGGUUGGGGAUGGACUCGCGGCUUAUCAGCUUGUUGGUGGGGUAGGGGCUUACCAAGGCUUUGACGGGUAGCCGGCCUGGGAGGGUGACCGGCCACAUUGGGACUGAGAUACGGCCCAGACUCCUACGGGAGGCAGAAGUGGGGAAUAUUGCACAAUGGGCGGAAGCCUGAUGCAGCAACGCCGCGUGCGGGAUGACGGCCUUCGGGUUGUAAACCGCUUUCGACUGUGACGAAGCGUGAGUGACGGUAAUGGGUAAAGAAGCACCGGCUAACUACGUG
This 468-nucleotide ribosomal RNA is filed under the name uncultured bacterium. Its description in RNAcentral is "partial 16S ribosomal RNA". It matches the Rfam family "Bacterial small subunit ribosomal RNA", at positions 28 to 507 of the family's 1533-position model. The record is from RNAcentral.